RNAcentral lists this ribosomal RNA (400 nucleotides) under uncultured bacterium. RNAcentral describes it as "bacterial SSU rRNA". It matches the Rfam family "Bacterial small subunit ribosomal RNA", at positions 359 to 776 of the family's 1533-position model. The record is from RNAcentral.
GAAUUUUCCCUAUUGGGCGCAAGCCUGAGGGAGCAACGCCGCGUGCAGGACGACGGCUUUCGGGUUGUAAACUGCUUUUGGGGGGGAAGAUGAUGACGGUACCCCCCGAAUAAGCCCCGGCUAACUCUGUGCCAGCAGCCGCGGUAAUACAGAGGGGGCAAGCGUUGUCCGGACUGACUGGGCGUAAAGCGCACGCAGGCGGUUGUGGGCGUCGGUGCUGAAAGUCCACUGCUUAACAGUGGGAUGCGUGCCGAUACGCCAUAACUGGAGCGAUGCAGAGGCCAGUGGAAUUGCCGGUGUAGUGGUGAAAUGCGUAGAGAUCGGCAGGAACACCCAAGGGGAAGCCAGCUGGCUGGGCAUUUGCUGACGCUCAUGUGCGACAGCGUGGGGAGCGAACUGG